This 76-nucleotide transfer RNA is filed under the name Rehaibacterium terrae. RNAcentral's name for it is "tRNA-Thr". It matches the Rfam family "tRNA". Rfam says of the family: Transfer RNA (tRNA) molecules are approximately 80 nucleotides in length. Their secondary structure includes four short double-helical elements and three loops (D, anti-codon, and T loops). The record is from RNAcentral. Lineage: Bacteria; Pseudomonadati; Pseudomonadota; Gammaproteobacteria; Lysobacterales; Lysobacteraceae. RNAcentral also lists the same sequence under 12 other names.
GCUCACGUAGCUCAGUCGGUAGAGCACUUCCUUGGUAAGGAAGAGGUCGCUGGUUCGAUUCCAGUCGUGAGCACCA